UGAGCUAACCAGCUAGCCUGACCAUCAAUAUAACGUAACAAUAUACAUAACAAGCAAGGCCUAACAACAUAAAUUAAAUCAUUUUUUUACCUGAGUAUGGGAGACAGAAAAGG
This 113-nucleotide ribosomal RNA is filed under the name Campostoma anomalum (central stoneroller). RNAcentral's name for it is "partial 16S ribosomal RNA". Lineage: Eukaryota; Metazoa; Chordata; Actinopteri; Cypriniformes; Leuciscidae. The record is from RNAcentral.